UACGUAGGGUGCAAGCGUUGUCCGGAAUUAUUGGGCGUAAAGAGCUCGUAGGCGGUUCGUCGCGUCGGCUGUGAAAUCCCGAGGCUCAACCUCGGGUCUGCAGUCGAUACGGGCGGACUGGAGUUCGGCAGGGGAGACUGGAAUUCCUGGUGUAGCGGUGAAAUGCGCAGAUAUCAGGAGGAACACCGGUGGCGAAGGCAGCCAUCUGGACCGACACUGACGCUGAGGCGCGAAAGCGUGGGGAGCAAACAGG
RNAcentral lists this ribosomal RNA (253 nucleotides) under uncultured bacterium. RNAcentral's name for it is "partial 16S ribosomal RNA". It matches the Rfam family "Bacterial small subunit ribosomal RNA", at positions 524 to 776 of the family's 1533-position model. The record is from RNAcentral.